This is a non-coding RNA of Manis javanica (Malayan pangolin), 594 nucleotides long. Lineage: Eukaryota; Metazoa; Chordata; Mammalia; Pholidota; Manidae. The record is from RefSeq and is a predicted model, not a curated record.
AGAUACUUAUGGCAAUAAAGCAAAGAAACAAAAAACAACUCUACUUUUCCAGAAACUAUGGCAGGAUUGUGCAGUUAAUUUUCCUGAAAGACCUAGACCUGGCCCUCUAGGAUCAACUGGAGAAGGAAGAUUCAUCAAAAAAGAAUCAGACUUAUUUCCUCAUGGUGCACUUUUGACAGAAAUGACCAGACCUCCAGGAGUUUCAAGUCAAGCAGAAUCCUACUAUUCCUCAUCUGUACCCAUGUCAAGUGCCCAUCAUGCUUCAGCCAUAUCCUCAAUGGUACCUCCGCCACCUUCAAGCUGGUCAUCAGUGGCCCACCCCACCUCAUGCUCAGUCAGUGCAAAUCCACUGAGUAGUUAUUCAGCAGGGGCACUUCCCUCUAAUUCACAGGGUAUUUCACCAUUCCUGGAAAUACCUGUUGGGAGUGAUUUGAAUGCUCCUAACACUUGCAUUUAUAACAAUACUAAUGACAUAGGCAGAAUGGAAGCAUCAUCCAUGUCACCAACUGACUUAUAUGGUAUUUCUGAUGCCAGCAUGCUGCCUAAUUGCCCUGUGAAUAUAACACCAAGUAAUGACAGCAUGAGGGGAACUGA